GUUCUUGUCGUAAAGGACUAUGUUUUUUCAGUUUGAGUUCUUGUCUUAGAACGAUGGGACAGCUUGACAAAUAUGAUUAUGCAUGUUGUUUCAACUAAUUAUCCAUGAUCUCCCAAGUCCUAGCAACAUUGGGGGUGAUGGGGUCUUGUUUUGUAGAACCGAGUCGUACUAAGAUGCGAAAGAGAGACACCUUAACAAUCUUGCUUGCGUGAUGCCAAGAUGGAUUUGGCCAUAUCUACCAUGUUUUACACAUACCACUCCUGUGGUUAUCCUACUUUAUUCCUUUGAGAGUGUGGGACAAUGGUUCAGCCCCCAAAAUAACAAGACAAAAGAUUGCAAUCCAGAAUCUAUACUAAUAUAUAUCCUAU
This 368-nucleotide long non-coding RNA is filed under the name Setaria viridis. RNAcentral's name for it is "long non-coding RNA (SVIR_LNC006275)". Lineage: Eukaryota; Viridiplantae; Streptophyta; Magnoliopsida; Poales; Poaceae. The record is from RNAcentral.